GCCAGGCACUGUGGCACAUGCCUGCAAUCCCAGCAACUUGGGAGGCUGAGAUGGGAGGAUCAUGAGUGACUCACUCAGUGAGACCCUGUCUCUA
This 94-nucleotide small RNA is filed under the name Marmota monax (woodchuck). Lineage: Eukaryota; Metazoa; Chordata; Mammalia; Rodentia; Sciuridae. The record is from RNAcentral.